This 8659-nucleotide long non-coding RNA is filed under the name Manihot esculenta (cassava). RNAcentral describes it as "long non-coding RNA (MESC_LNC010412)". The record is from RNAcentral. Lineage: Eukaryota; Viridiplantae; Streptophyta; Magnoliopsida; Malpighiales; Euphorbiaceae.
UGUGAAUUUGUUAACCGUCUUCAAAGUGAUCGAAGGAGAUGUGUCGAAGGAAUAUAAGAGUUUUAAGUUGACCGUUCAAGCUACGCCUAAAGGAGAGGGCAGUGUGGUGCGUUGGACCUUAGAAUAUGAGAAGAUCCAUGAGAAUAUACGAGAUCCUUACUCCUUGCUAGAGUUUAUUGUACAAUUUAGUAAGGAUGUUUCUGCUCAUCUCGUGAAAUAUCCGAAGAAAUGAUCAUGAACAUGUUAUGCUUUAAUAUGUGAUUUGCAUAAUAAUUAAAUAAGUGCUCUAUAAUGAAGCAUCAAUGACAAACAUAUUUGUGUAUGAACUUAUAUCUACAAUGUAUUACAUCUUAAAACUAUGUUUGUGUUUUUUUAAUGAUUACACUUCCUUUAUUAAUGUCUAUCUAAAUUUUUAAUGUCCAAUUGAUGUUGAUUCGUCUUGAUUUAAAUCUAUUUUUUAAUUUUUUAUUAUAAAAAAUUAAAAAUUCAAAGCGAACUCUAACAACUUAAAAUUUAACAUAGAAUGAAAAAUACUCAUGAAAACUUAUCGACAUAAAUUAUGAUAUUCAUAUCCAGAAAUCUCUUCACCGGCUGUUUUCUCUGUUUCAAACAAUGAUUAGUAGCAUCAUAUCUAAUUUUCCUAGAAUUUUCAAUCAAUUUUAAGUUUAUCAAGAUGUAUUGAAAAAUAAUUAAGUAUGAUAUGUAAAAUUAGAAGACUAUGAUCUUAUGAAGGCACACUGAUAUAUAUCAUAAUUUAGAGGAUGUAGCCUUUGUUUAUUUAUAAAGAAUAAAAUUUUAAAAAAUAUUUAUUAUGAAAAAUAUUUUCUAAGAAUAAAAAUAAUUUUUAAGAAAAUUUUUAUUUAUUAUUUAUAUUAAUAUAAAAAAAUAAAAAUAUGCAGCAAUCGCACAGUAUAUAUAUAUAUAUAUAUAUAUAUAUAUAUAUAUAUAUAUUUGUUUAAAAUAAAAGAAGAAAAUAUAAAUUUAUUUUUAUUAGAAUGAGAUAUAUAAUUAUUUAUAUAAGGCAUUGUAACAUUUUCCAUCCCAUAACACAAACCCUAAUUGAAAUCACUCACAAUAGUCAAUGCUUCAUAAUUGAGUAGGAAAGAUCUCUAAACAUAUAUAUAUAUAUAUAUAUAUAUAUAUAUAUAUAUAUAUAUAUAUAUAUAUAUAUAUAUUUAUAUAUGGCAACUAAGCUUAUGCAACUUCUAUAUAAGGAAAGCAAUGCCAAAGCAGCAUAAGCAUUACCAAAAACUCUCUAUUGGGCAAAUUGGAGGCAGAUGUUGAGAUCAAUGCUCCAGCAGAUCAAUUUCACGAUGUCUUUAGUUGCAGACCACACAUGUAUUCAAUAUGAGUCCCAAUAAAAUUGAUGGUUGUGAUCUCCAUGAAGGUGAAUGGGUAAGGAAUGCACUGUGGUUUGCUGGAGUUAUUCUCAUGGUAAGCCUUAAAUCUUCAAUUGAAACUUUCUUUAGCUUUUAUUUUAAUUUUUUUUGUAAUUUUUAAAAAUUAUUAAUUAAGUAUUAAAAUGAAAAAUAAAUAGAUCUCGUAAAGUAGCUAAAGAGAUAAUUGAAGCCAUAAAUGAUGUGAACUUGUCAACCACCUUCAAAGUGAUUGAAGGAGAUCUAUUGAAGGAGUACAGAAGUUUCAAGUUGAUCAUUAAGCUAUACCCAAGGGUGAGGGAAGUUUGACGCAUUGGACUUUGAAAUAUGAAAAAUUCCAUGAGAAUAUACCAAAUCCUAAUACAUUACUGGAACUACUUAUCCACUUAAGUAAAGAUAUUUAUGCUUAUCUCGUGGAAUGUCAAAAAAAAUUCCAUGAGAAUAUGUCAUAACGCAACGCGUGAUAUUUCUUUUAAUAAUUAAAUAAGUGCUCUAUAAUGAAGCACAAGUGGCUGGGACAUUUUGUUGCAGAAAAACUUGCCUAAAAUCUAUGUCAUGUGUUUGUGUUACUCUAUUAUUAUAUGUCUUUUAAUUUGAUAAAAUUAAAAAAAUAGAGAUUAAAUCAUUUACUUUUUAAAAAAAAAUAAUUUAACAGCAUAGAGUAAGGAUUAAACUGUUAAUUUUAAAAUUUUAUGCGGUUAUAUAUUAAUUUUGACCUAAUUAUUUUAUAACAAGUAAUUGCAAUGGUCUCAUCCGUAGGAAAUUUGUAAUUAAUAUAUUUUAUUUAUUUUUAUAUAUUUAUUGUGUGUUGAGUAUAUUAUAAAAGGGUCCAACAUGCAAGUAAUAAUUCAAAAUUUGAAAAAUGUGAUCUAUUAUUUUGUCCCAAUUUGCAUGCAUAGAAGAUUUACUCCAAACGGAAAUAAUUUUUUUUUUUUUUUUACAUUGCAGAGAAAAAAAUUACAAUUAAGCAAUUAGGCGUUUCAGAGAAUAUAGGCCUAUUAAUCUGAAGGCAAUAUUUCUCAAAAACACAAAUUUGCAACAAUAUCAGUAAAAGUGUUUGCGAACAUAGUGGUGUUACAUAACAUUAGUCCAAAAAAAGUUAUGAGUUGUCACUAUAGAAUAGGAAUCACGUGAUAAAAUUUAACAAGUAAAAAAACGUUGUCUCACUACAGGAGGAAACCCGAAUACUUUAACACGCAGACUAUCAUCAAUACUCGCCCUCCCAGGAUAGGCCGAGUCUUGACAGAGUUACUGUUAUUAGGCACAUUUCUACUUUGUCAGAGAUCGUGGGAUUACUAAUCUAAUUAGCUGACGUUGUUCAUUAUUGAGCAGUCGGCCACAUUAUUGCCGAAUUUUCACAAAACACUAUAUUUAUCUUCAUCCCUUACAGUAUAAAAUGAGAACGAUUUCAGAGAAAAUGUAUGCUAUUUCUAAUACUAUUCAAACUCUAAAUAAUCCUUCGCAUUCUCUUUGUUCUUCUAAACACUGAUUUCAGCAUCACAUAGACUGUCGUGGGCACCCACCACCACCUCACGUUUUCUCUUUUGUAGGUUCUAGCCAAUUACAGCUCAGUUCCAUUUCGACUACGUCAUCAAUCCAAUCUUAGCAACAUCAUUUGGUUCCAUUGUCGAGAAAGAUCCAUUAAACUCACUCCUGGAUCAGGCCCAGUUUCCUAUCGUCUUUCCUCACUCGAAAUGGCCGGAAACCCUAUAGUUGCUGACAAUACCAUUACCAAUGAGGGGGUCAUCAUUUCCUCUAUCCCAAAUAACCGAGAGAACAUGCAUCCAGUGAUCAAUGAAACAAACCUUAAUAAUUUGAAUAAUGAGCAGAUAAUCCAGUAUAUCUAAAGGCUGCAGGCCACUCUCGGGCAGUAUAAGACCUAAGAAGAGGCGUCUAAGAUGGACUCUGAAAGAAGAGAUGAGACUUCCGUAAACACCCCCAAAGCCAUCAUGGAAGCACCUAAAAUGCGGCAUAAAGGUGUAACGACCCGAAAAUCGGACCGCUACCGGCGCUAGGAUCUUAAGGUCACCGGAACCCGUAGCAAGCCUAACAUACAUCCUGUAUACCUGCUAAAAUCCCAUACAUGAUCAUACAUUUUCAUAAAAACUUUAAAUUUUUCAUAUACCAAGUUUGACCUAUGCAUGCAACAUAACUGUAUACAUAAAAUCCCUUACUGGAGCCCUCAUCAAAUGCUCUAGUUGGGUCAACAUCUCAUACAUCAAGCUUGGUUCAACAUAUAUCAUCAUUAAAAAUAUUUCAUAAAGAUCAUGUACCAAAAGGGAUUAACCAUACAUUAGGGCCAAGCACAAUACUAAUCCGCAUUACAUUACUGAAUAAUACCUUACAUUACAUUACAUGUCAUUUCAUGUCCACUACUAAUCUAUUACAUGACAUAGCCAUUACCCUUGCUGACUUCAUGCUAUCUUUGACCCUGCAAACCUGGGGGUUAGGGGAAAAGGGUGAGCUACAAAAGCCCAGUGAGUAGAACAGUAAAACACAAUUUAAUAAAACACAUGCUUUUAUGAAAUGCGUCACAACACAAACAAUUCACAACAAGGAUGGACUUGUCACCAAUAACCCUCUACAUAAUUCAAUGUGCCCGGCCCUCGACGGGGCUCCCCAGGACUUCCUCUUAAACAUAAUAUAAUGCCAAGACGCAUGGCAUGGGCAGCCCUGGACUUUCUUACAUACCAUAUCAUAUCAUAUUGAGGGCUAGUGGGUCAUCCAAUAUCCAUCCACAACAACAACAAAUUAUGCAAUGCAUCAUAUUCGUGAAUUCUAAUGCCACAACCUAAUACAUAAACAUGGUAUCCAUGAUGCAUGAGCAUGCUUAAAAGUUUGAUUGCUUAAAAAAAGAAAGAGUUAUGUUCUACUCACCUUUGGCUGACUCUAGAAUAGCUAACUCACUGUUGAUCACCUCGGUUCCUCAAGUCCAAUCUUACACAGGUAGACUCAAAUGAGGGACCAAACAUACUCUAACAUGACUCUAAACAUCUCCCCAAAAACCCCCUAAAAUAUCAUAAAACAUGCACACAAAACAAGCAAAGGAAGGCUAGGCAGGAGACUUUCGGCGGCAGGUUCGGCGGCCGAAGGUCCCUACAGAGCCGAAAGUCAGGCACUUUCGGGGGCAGGGUUCGGCGGCCGAAAGCCUUCACAGACUCGAAAGUCACCCACCUUCGGGGGCAGGUUCGGUGGCCGAAACUCCCCUCCAGAGUCGAAAGUCUAACUUUCAGGGGCGAGUUUAGGCGGUCAAAACUACCUCCUCUGGCAGGUUCGGCGACCGAACCUGGGUUCUCCAGGACGACAGAACCCGAUUUUGCCUCAUGUAUUCAGCCAUCCAAACCUCACCAACACCCAUCCAACUAUUCUAAAGCAUGCAUAAAUACAUAUUCGAGCUUAUAGGGGCUUAAAACUAGCCUAUACCCCCAACAAACAUCAACAUAGCAUCACAUUUAACAUUAAACUAACAUAAACCCUAACAUUUAGAUCUACUCUAAAUAUGCAUUAAACACCCUUAAAACCUCCUAAAACUUACUUAAAACAUAAAAAGGUAUAGAUCUACACUUACCUCUUGAAGAUCGAGAGGAGAGGUGAUCCAAACUUGGAGAUUGGGAGAAAUCGAGCUCUGGGGGUCUCCAAGCUUCAAAACUUUGAUCUUAGCUUAAAAUCUUCAAAACAAAGGUAAAAACUGCUCAUCAAGACUUAAAGGAAAUGAAGGAAAACACAAAAUCAACCAAAGGAGGGCGAAAUCUCACCUAUGUCAGAAAAUAAAGAGAGAAAACUUGUCCAUUUUCGGAUAAUGGGCCUUUUAUAGGUGGCUGGCCAGACCACCUUCAGGGGCCAAAGGUGCUUCCACAAGAGCCCAAUGUUCCGCGGUCGAACCUGGCUUUUCCUUCCUUGGUCUUUUCUUUCAAAACUCAAUUUCUUUUUUCAUUAAAACCAUAAAAAUAUAUAAAAACAUUUUAGAAAACCUUUAUUUUACCCUUCUAGAAGGCUCCGACAUCCGAGAAUUUCAGAUUCCAACGGAGAUUCCGCUGGAAGGUAGGAAUUCCGAUGCCGGAGUCUAGCCGGGUAUUUUAAACUCACUCCUGGAUCAGGCCCAGUUUCCUAUCGUCUUUCCUCACUCGAAAUGGCUGAAAACCCUACAGUUGCUGACAAUACCAUUACCAAUGAGGGGGUCAUUAUUUCCUCUAUCCCAAAUAACCGAGAGAACAUGCAUCCAAUGAUCAAUAAAGCAGACCUUAAUAAUUUGAAUAAUGAGCAAAUAAUCCAGUAUAUCUAAAGGUUGCAGGCCACUCUCGGGCAGUAUAAGACCCAAGAAGAGGCGUCUAAGAUGGACUCUGAAAGAAGAGAUGAGACUUUCGUAAACACCCCCAAAGCCAAGAUAGAAGCACCUAAAAUGCGGCAUAAAGGUAAGUGUGAAUCUGAAGAUAAAUCAAAUGAGGUUUCAAAAGAAGUGAAUUGGAAGCUAGUACGAGCCAUACAAAGAUAUUAAAGAAAACAAGAAGAGGAUUAUAGUUUGGAUGGGGUCUCGCCUCUUUCGGAAAAAAUACUGGUGAAAACUUUUCCCGCUAAGUUCAAGUUGUCCUAUUUGGAUAAGUAUUACGGGACAGCAGACCCUUGAAGCCAUCUAGCCAUUUUCAGGACGACCCUGGAGUUUCAAGAUUUAAAUAAUUUUGUGUUAUGCCGAAUGUUCCUGUCGACAUUCGCAGAUUUCUGAAACUUAUUAAUAAGUAUAAAAAUAAAAAAUUGAUGGAUCUCGCAAAGUGGCAAAAGAGGUGAUUGAAACUAUAGAUGAUGUGAACUUAUCAACCACUUAUGAAAUGAUCGACAGAGAUCUAAUGAAGGAGUACAAGAGUUUCAAAGCUACUGUUCAAGCUACACCCAAAAGAAAUGGCAGUUUGGUGCAUUGGACCUUGUUAAUAUAAGAAGUUGAAUGAAAAUAUAUCAGAUCUCCAUACAUUAAUGGAAUUUCUUAUCCAUUGCAGUAAGGAUAUUUCUGCUCAUCUCGUGGAAUGCCGGAAGAAAUGAUCAUGGAAUAUGAUCAUCACAUAUUCAUAUCUAAGAAUCUCUUUGCUGUUUUUUCAGACAAUAAAUAAUCAAUUAGUAGCAUCUAUCGAUCUAGCUAAUUUUUUAAAAGUUUUUGAUCGAUUUUAAAUUUAUCAAUAUGUGUUGAUAAUUAAUUAUGAUACAUAAAAUCAGAGACUAUGAUUUUAUUCAUACAUAUUGUAAUAGACAUCAUAAUUUGGAUGCAUUAGAUUCUAUUUAUUUAUAAAAAAUAAAUUAUUGUCUUUAAAAAUAAUUUAAUAUUUUUAUCAGUAAAAUAAUUUUUAUUAAUCAUUUCUUUUGAGUAUUCUAUAUACAUAAAAAAAAUUGAAAGAUAUUUUAGCCGCGUAUAUAUUCACAUUUUCACUUAUUAAUUAUAUAUCUAUAUAAAUUAAAUAUGGGAUUUAAUAUAAUUUAAAAUAAUAUAUUAUUUAUUUAUGUAUCAUAUUUAUAUAUUAAAAUUUCUAUGGAAUUUUUCAUCAAAUAAUGCUCAACUCCUCUAUGAGUUAUGGCACCCUCUUCGAAUAGCUAGAAAUACCUAAUCUUAUUUAAAAAAUAAAUAUUUUACUUAAACUUUAAUAUAAAUAUUUUAUUUAAUUAUUAAAAUUAACUCAUUUUUAUAUAUGAAUUUAAAUAAUUUAAAUUAAAUUUUAACGAAAUUUUAAAAUAAAUUUAACAUUAAAAAUGAAAUAAAAUUAUCUUAUUAUUUCUAUUUGUGAUAAUUGUUUUAUCUCACUAAACUUAAAUAGAGUUAGAGAUGUAUCGUAUGAAAAAACUUGCUUAAACGUUGAGUUUCAAUUAGAUUUUUUUAAAUAAUUUUAUUUAGUUUAAGAACUCUAUUUAAUUACCAAUAAAAUAUAUGGAAGGAUUUGAGAUUUAGGUAAAGAAAAAUUAUAAUUCAAGAAUUAAACUAUUUGUUUUAUAAAUAAAAAAAAUAUUUUUAUUAAUUAAUUUAAGGACUGAAAAGUUACUUUAUUUAAACCAUACAAUAAAUAUUUGCCCAACUUUACAUAAUCUUAUCACAAAAAAAAAAAUCAAUAAUUUUAAAACACUUUUUACAAAUAUCGUAAGAGAUUAAAAGAAAUCUUAUCACUCAUUAUUAUUGCUCCUUUUCUUUAAAUUUUUAUUAUACUCAAAAUAUAAAGUAUAUUUAUAAAUUUUUUUAUAAAUAAUUAUCAUAUUAUAAUAUCCAGAAAAAAAUAUCACAAAAAACAUUUCCCCCAAACAUUUGAAAAUACACUUUCACAAAUAUUGUCCCCGAUUAAGGAAUCCCUCUAUAUAUUUAAUUAUUUUUAUGAUUUAAUUAUUCAUAUAUUAAAUUUAUUUUGAAUAUAUUUUUAUUUAUAUUUUUAUUGAAAUAUUGAAAUAUUUAUAAUUUCAAAUUAGUUUAUAAGUAUUUAUAUUAUCAUUUUAAUUUAUUUUCUAUUAUUUACAAUAAUUUUCAUCCCAUAAUACACAUUCUAAUUGAAAUUACUCAACAUAGUCACAUCUGCAUAAUUGAGUAUGAAAAUAUUUCUAUAAUAUUAAAAUAAAUAAAUAUAUAAAUGACAAUUAGGCUCAUGCCACUUCUAUAUAUAGAAAGCAAUGCCAAAGGACUGCAUGCAUCAUUAGAUUCAUUAGUGAUCAUAAGCAUCACCAGAAAUUCUGUAUCUUUCUUUUUUCAAAAGCUAAAAAUGACAUUAUGGGGCAAACUAGAGGCACAGUUUGGGAUCGAUGCUCCUGCAGAUCAGUUUCAUGAUGUCUUCAGUUGUCGACCACACCAUAUAUCCAAUAUGUCCCCUCACCAUAUUCAUGGUUGUGAUAUUCAUGAAGGUGAAUGGGGUAAGGAAGGCUCUAUUGUCUGCUGGAAAUAUUUCCAUGGUAAGCGUUUAAUCUUUUUCAAUUGUAUUUUUCCUUUUUUCUUCUAAAAAUUAUUAAUAAGUAUAAAAUGAAAAACAGAUGGGUCUGCUAAAGUGGCUAAGGAAGUAAUUGAAACCAUAGAUGAUGUGAAUUUGUUAACCGUCUUUAAAGUGAUCGAAGGAGAUUUGUUGAAGGAAUAUAAGAGUUUCAAGUUGACCGUUCAAGCUACACCUAAAGGAGAGGGCAGUGUGGCGCGUUGGACCGUAGAAUAUGAGAAGAUCCAUGAGAAUAUACGAGAUCCUUACUCCUUGCUAGAGUUUCUUGUCCAAUUUAGUAAGGAUGUUUCUGCUCAUCUCGUGAAAUGUUAGAAGAAAUAAUCAUGGAACAUGUUAUGCUCU